AAUGAAAAAAACAAACAAACAAAAAAAAACCAAAUAAAUCAAUUUGCACAAUUAGGUGACGUAAGCAAAAAGCAACAAAAAUAGUGGUUUACAAAUUAAAACCGAUUUUUUAUACGAAUCUAAACAGUCUGUAGCUUAAUUCAAUAUGCCGCGCUUACCAAUCAGCAUUUGACAUCAAAGUACCGCGAGAGCGAAUCUUGCUUUAAGUGUAGAUCCGCUCUCGCGGUACUUUGAUGUCAUAAACCAGUCAAUUUGCGCAGCAACAGAUGAAGCCAAACACAACCAAUAUUAGAGUCGUUGUAAUGUGCCACCCGCACCACUAGAUGGAGUAUAGUAUUACCGUAAGGUUGACUUCUGCAUUCCCGCACUGUUUUCACUGUCCUGGCAACGAGACGCUGUAGACGACGUCAAAGACAAGUAUUAAAUCAUCUUUUUUAUUUUAUUUUUAAUCAGAGUAGAUACCAAAUCGAAGGCAAGCAUCUACAAAAAGACUUUAGCACGGAGCAAGUCAACGUUUGUUCCUUCAGUAUGCCAGAGAGCCUGGAAUCAGCCAUCACACCCUCUCUGAAUUUCUGUCACAAAAAUAAAGGAACUCGUUGGCCACAGGGUCGUCCCUCAGCAGCAAACCAUACAGUGCCACCCAAUGACACACCAGUUUAACAAUCUUCUGCUUGGUAUUGAGGGCAUAUGCUGCUUUCUCCAGAUCUGAGCCUUCAGACGGCUCUGCUUGCUGUCUGAUAAACCUUGAGGGGUUGAAGACCGGGGGUGUGUCUGUAACCCACCUUACUACUAAAGCAGGUGCCAAGGUUGGAAUGAAGGAGUAAACUAACCGGAAAUGUGCUGUUAACCUACAUAGAUGAUAAAGGAGGAACACUACUAUACCUCUUUAAGGCAUGAACCCCGCGAGGACUGGAUGAGUGUAUCUGCUGAACACAUGACCGCUGGAACCUCUGAGAAGACAAAAGUAUAGAAAAAGAGUUUUAUGUCUAGUCAAACUGCACUUCUGGUUUUGGUACAUCCUAUGUGGUCUCUUAUUCUGCUGUUUGUGCAAUAUCAUGACUCUAGUAAAACUCACUGGCUGCAUAUUGUCAACUCUUUAA
This is a long non-coding RNA of Misgurnus anguillicaudatus (oriental weatherfish), 1100 nucleotides long. RefSeq lists it as uncharacterized. The record is from RefSeq and is a predicted model, not a curated record. Lineage: Eukaryota; Metazoa; Chordata; Actinopteri; Cypriniformes; Cobitidae.